Uranotaenia lowii is the source of this 566-nucleotide long non-coding RNA. RefSeq lists it as uncharacterized. The record is from RefSeq and is a predicted model, not a curated record. The transcript has 3 exons. NCBI's taxonomy places the organism in Eukaryota, Metazoa, Arthropoda, Insecta, Diptera, Culicidae.
GCAAAAAUGUUGUUUAUGUUUUUCUCGCGUAGUGAGUUGUUUUCUUCGCGCUGUUCAAAAUCGUUUCGAAAAUUAAAGAAUACCAUUGGCACAAAUCGGACUCAAUAUCAAAUCAACUACGAGGAUUGCACCAGACUGACCGCGAAUCCCGAUGGUAGAACGACAAAAAAAUGCUUCCUCUUUCUAUCGUGACACUGGGAGCGUUUUUACGAACACCGGUUGUAUGGCAUGAAAUUCUUAUCAAUCCAGCGGGACAUCAAACAAGCCCGGAACACACAGAAGUUAUGUAGCUGCCCAAUCAAAAGGAAGAGUUACGACACGACGUUUGUUAUUCCCCUAGGAAGAUUCCGCCACGGGGCAAGCAAGAUUCCCAUAGUUAUCAUAAUUUGUGUUGCCUGCCUUAUUAUGAUUUUGAAGAAGAAUUAGGAAAUGCCUCGAGUUUUCAUUCAAUCUCAAGAAUCGAAAUCCUGCAUCGAAUUGAAUCGAAAUAUUCUCUUAUAAACAACAUGCGAAUUGAUCGGCCAGGGCUACAAAAAUUAUGUCGAUGGUUCUUUAACUGGGUGAGC